AUGUCAUGCAAACAACGCAAAACUCAGACCAAUGGAUCCACUCCUCAUGUCUAUUUCCAUACACAAAUUGCUUUUUUCGCCAACUUGAGCAGCUCUAAAUGUAUUCAUGGAGAUCUAUAUGGCUUCCUUCUUCUCUGCACUUGCAUAGGUUUCCGAGCUCCAUCAGUGGUUGCACCCGCGUCGUCUCCCCUCAUUUUAACUAUAGCUAUUCCCGAGGUACCCCCGCGUCGUCUCGCGCAGGCGACUCGGGGGCGAUUAGGUUUUCCCCCGAGCGCCGCCACCCUCGUCUGCCUCCCCUCGUCGCCGUCACCGGCGGCCUCCGGCCGGCCCGCAGCGGCGGCGGGACCCCUUCCACCUCCUCCUCCGUCCAUCCCCGCGUUGGUCCCCCUACCUGCUCGCCUCCUCUCCUCGUCCGGUGGGCUGCUUCCUCUUGGAGCGGUCAGAUCUGGAUCAUGCUGUUGCAGUGCUUGGAGGGGGUCGGUCUGGGAUGGGGCCUCGGAGUGGUGCUCGUUGCGGUGGCUGGAGCGGCCGGCUUCGCGCGAGCUGCUCGCCUCUUCGGAGAUGGGUGAGCGUGGCCCUUUGGAUCUGGGGCGGCGGCCCUUCCGGCGAGACUCCAUUGGCUUGACCGGUGCUCGUUGGUGCUGCCGUUCUUCUUCGAACGCGGGGGCGGCAGGUGGCGGCUGUGGUGCGGGCGUCUCAGCGGCGCCCGAUCCAGAUCUGAAGGCCUCCGUCUACUUCAACCAGGGCUGCCUCCGAUGGUCCUGCUUUGGGCGGCCUUUGUCGCCGGAGUUGUACCUGUAUGGUGGCUGGAGGUGGGAGGUGGCUCCGGAGAAAUCCGAGGCCAGCAGUGCUGGUCACGACGGCGGAGACGCCCGAGGGCGCCAUACCCUUCUUGUAGGCAACGUCCAGGUCUCCUCCUUCCCCUCUUCCUUCCACCCAGCUCGUAUGCCAGGCGAAAGCCCAAAUCCUUGCCGGAUCGAGCGACAGCGGCGCUCCGGGCGUCAGCACCCUCUUGAGGGUGUCGUUCGUGGUGAGCUUGGAUGGAUGUGA
RNAcentral lists this ribosomal RNA (1050 nucleotides) under Triticum aestivum (bread wheat). RNAcentral describes it as "partial small subunit ribosomal RNA". The record is from RNAcentral. Lineage: Eukaryota; Viridiplantae; Streptophyta; Magnoliopsida; Poales; Poaceae.